RNAcentral lists this transfer RNA (70 nucleotides) under Marmota monax (woodchuck). Its description in RNAcentral is "tRNA.Ala". Lineage: Eukaryota; Metazoa; Chordata; Mammalia; Rodentia; Sciuridae. The record is from RNAcentral.
GGGCUGGGGCUCAGCGGUAGAGCGCUUGCCUAGCAUGUGUGAGGCACUGGGUUCGAUUCUCAGCACCACA